Long non-coding RNA from Theobroma umbraticum, 3235 nucleotides. RefSeq lists it as uncharacterized. NCBI's taxonomy places the organism in Eukaryota, Viridiplantae, Streptophyta, Magnoliopsida, Malvales, Malvaceae. The record is from RefSeq and is a predicted model, not a curated record.
AAAAACCGGAUGCAUAUGACUCGAAUUCCCUAGCCCAUGUGCAUGGCUCAUCACUUUACCAAAAUUUCCCCACUUUGCUAUCCUUUCUCAUGCUAUUACCAGACGGCUGAAGCUUCCUUUGCCAUGCUGUGCUAAAGGUUCCCUGCUUUGCUCCCCAAGCUCUGUACUUCCUUUGCCUUCCUAUAUACAGCUUUGGAGCUUAAGUGUCAGUAAGCCUUCGAUAUGGCUAUUAUGCGGAUUGCUGUAUGGUGCUGGGACCAAGCUCUCAAUUGAUGGAGGCUAGUUCUUUAUUUGCAGAGCCGGUUGAAGCUAGAGAUGAUAAUUGGAAAGAGGCUCUUCUUUAUGGCUUCUCUGAGAAGCCAGAAUUAUGCAAGGAAACCAAUUGGAGUGCUUCAAAUUAUUUGAUUGUUGGAUCAUAUGGUCGCAAAGAAACCUAAAAUUCUUUGAAUUUGAGUUGGUAAUAUCUGAUUGCACCAUAAUCAACAUAAUGAAAUCCUUGAGGCAAUUGCAAACAAUGGCUUUGUGCUACUGUCUUGGUGAUAUAUCCAUAUCAAGCUUCUACUUCUCUAUGCCAACUGAGGAAAUUGAGGCUUGAAAGGUUAUGGCAUCUGGAGUUAAAUUUUUCAAGCUAGUAUGAUUAUUUUGUCAGGUGACAAAUCCAUGGCUUCCUUUUCAUUUUAAAGAUAGAAAAUGAUACUCUUGUGCUAGUUAUAAGCUCUUUUCUGGAUGCCAAUUCAUGGCUUUCUUUUGAUCUCUUUAUCUCUUUCCUUAAAAAUUGAAUUAUCUAGUUAAAUGCAUAAUCAUUCUUCAAGAUGUAGUAUCUGUUAUGACUUGAUCUUUUUGUCACAUAGGAUUAUGGAGAAGUGACCGUAAGUGGUGUUUGUUCUCUUUUCAAUUGCACUGCACUUGAAGAUCUCUUGCUGCGGCAUAAUGAGUCGCGCUACAAUAACAAGGAUCGUAAAAAAUCAUUUCCACAGUCCAAGGCCGACACGGAAGAAAGUCCUUAAUGACGUAAAGGACUUAAUGUUUAAAAAAUUUCAGGAAAAAUGUGUUUGGCCUACAAAUCAAAAUGUUUUGGUUCGACGGAUAUGGGAUAAAAUUUGUUCUAAUUAAUUAAGAAACAAGCUUUUAGAAUAGAGGAACAAAGCAACCACAAAUGCCAAAACAGGUGACAUUAGGGAUUGCGAAGGCAUGUCAAGGGAAUGGAUCACAAAUAAAAUUUGGGAUGCCUUUAUCGAUAUGGUAUGAGAUAUAGAAAAAUGGCGAAACAAAUUGGGAAAAGCAAGGCAAAAUCACUUAUGAUGAUUUACAUUUACGUUUAUAUUUGUUUGAUAUUUUUAAAUAUUGUGUAUUUGUGACUAUUUUUAGUGGUAUGAACUUGACUUUGAAUUUUAGUUUUUAACGCGUGUUUUUUCUUAUAAAUUUUGAAUGUGAAUUUUGGAUGUCAAUUGAUGAUUUAGUCAUCAUUGAUAAAAUUUUGAAUGUGAAUUUUGGAUGUCAAUUGAGAAAAGCAAGGCAAAAUCAUUUAUAAUGAUUUAGUUUUAUGUUUACAUUUGUUUGACGUUUUAAAAUAUUGUGUGUUUAUGACGAAUUUUAAUGGUAUGAACUUGACUUUGAAUUUUAGUUUUUAAUGCUUGUUUUUUCUUAUAAAUUUUGAAUGUGAAUUUUGAAUGUCAAUUUAUAAUUUAGUCAUCAUUGACAAAAUUUAGAGAUUUUGGUUGGUAAUUUUUGUUGGAAAGGCAUUACCGACAAAACAUUUCAUUGGAAAUUUUCAAUGAAAUUUCUUUGGAACAACAUUUCCAACUGAAAUUUUGUUGGAAAUGCUUUUCCAACAGAAUUUCGUGAUAAAUUUUCAAAUUUCAUUGGAAAUUUCUGAUAGAAUAUUACGUUGGAAAGACAGUUCCAAUAGAAUUUCGUUGUAAACUUUUGACGGAAUUUCAUUGGAAUUACUUUUUCAACAGAACAUUUUGUGGAAACUUUUCAUUGAAAAUUUUCAACAAAAUUCCAUCGAAACUGUUUUUCCAGCGGAAUAUUCCAUUGGAAUUUUAAACUUGUCCAAUGGAAUUGAUGUAAUAUAGUGUUUGGAAUUAUAUACUUUUUUUGACGAAAUUAUGUAUUUUUUUCACUAGAUUUCAGAUUAUACUUUUACCGACGGAAUUUUCAAUAGAAAUUUUUGAUGAAAAUCCAUUGCAUAAAAGCAUUUUCAACGGAAUUUUAACUUUUCUCAAUGAAAAAUUCCAUUAGAAAAGCUUGAUUUUUGGUAGUGUUUCAUUGUCUGCCUUUCUUUUUAACUGCUACUCUCUUCUUUUCUUUUCUACGUCCUUUUUUUUUUUUCUUCUUUGAAGGCUUUUUUUUAAAAAAAAGUUUGUUCCUUGCUUUUGUUUUUCUUUUGUUCAUUUUCUUUAGUGUUAUCCAUUAUUUGAGUGUUUUUUUUCUUUUUUCUAUGAUCAAAUGAAUACAUGCCCUUAAUUGGCUUGAUCCCACUCUAAUGGUGGCUUUUGUCGUGUUUCUUUUUAGGGCACGAUAGUAGUUUGAUCUCGCUGUGGUUGUUUUCCGUUUAGGGAACAGAAUAAAGUGCACUUGAGUCAAAUGAUGAUGGUCUAUAUGAUAGGUGGCUACAAAAUGAAAAUGAAAACAUCCUUGUUGAGAAUAUGAAUGAUAAAAGAUCAAGAUUCAACUUUGCAGAGAAACCUUGGGCAAAUGAUUCAUCAUUUUCUAAUAUUGUAGAGGUAAGUUAACAAGAGCCAACAGCACCUAAUGCAGAUGUGCAUGUGAGAGGCAAGGAUGAAAUAAUGGUUCAACCCUGGCACUCUCAAGAAUCAAUUCAACAGACUCAGGAAAUUGUUUUUGCCAAAGGUGUCAUGAGUCUUGUGGUUGCUAGAAAUCUUGAGGGCACGUAUUGGUCGAUAAAGUUGAUGGUUUUGAUAAUGUUCAUGGAAACACAUCCUCGACCAUGUCAAAUGUCGAGAAGGUUAAUGCAUCUAUGGCUCAUUUUGAUAGUGACUCAUUUAUGGACUCAUUUCCUGAUAUUGUUGAUGUCGAUCCAGACACUAGUUCAGACUAGGAACUAAGGUGAGAAGAAUGAUAAUCCUUGUACUAUUUCUCUGUUAAAGUGAAAAAUCCAUGUUAGAAAUAUUAAUGGUGUGAUCUUGUGUUUGCCUUGUUCUGAUUACUUUGACUUGCAAUCUUCUCCCAGUUGUGCUUAUAAGUAAACUGAGAGGAAGGCAAGAAGGAG